Molecule: ribosomal RNA, 459 nt
Filed under: uncultured bacterium
Lineage: Bacteria
Description: partial 16S ribosomal RNA
Rfam family: Bacterial small subunit ribosomal RNA
Source: RNAcentral
CCUACGGGUGGCAGCAGUGAGGAAUAUUGGUCAAUGGCCGGAAGGCUGAACCAGCCAAGCCGCGUGAAGGACGAAGGUGCCAAGCAUUGUAAACUUCUUUUGUCAAGGGACAAAAUCAGGCUCGAGAGCCUGACCGAGGGUACCUGAAGAAAAAGCAUCGGCUAACUCCGUGCCAGCAGCCGCGGUAAUACGGAGGAUGCGAGCGUUAUCCGGAUUUAUUGGGUUUAAAGGGGGCGUAGGCGGACUGUUAAGUCAGCGGGAAACGCCCGGGGCUCAACCCCGGCGAGCCGUUGAAACUGGAUGCCUUGAGAGCACGCAGGGAAUGCGGAAGGCAUGGUGUAGCGGUGAAAUGCUUAGAUAUUGCGAAGAACUCCGAUUGCGAAGGCAAGAGACCGGCGGCGAUCUGACGCUGAGGCACGAAAGCGUGGGUAUCGAACAGGAUUAGAUACCCCAGUAGUC